Molecule: ribosomal RNA, 253 nt
Filed under: uncultured bacterium
Lineage: Bacteria
Description: partial 16S ribosomal RNA
Rfam family: Bacterial small subunit ribosomal RNA
Source: RNAcentral
UACAGAGGUCUCAAGCGUUGUUCGGAUUCAUUGGGCGUAAAGGGUGCGUAGGCGGCGCGGUAAGUCGGGUGUGAAAUCUCGGAGCUUAACUCCGAAACUGCAUUCGAUACUGCCGUGCUUGAGGACUGGAGAGGAGACUGGAAUUUACGGUGUAGCGGUGAAAUGCGUAGAUAUCGUAAGGAAGACCAGUGGCGAAGGCGGGUCUCUGGACAGUUCCUGACGCUGAGGCACGAAGGUUAGGGGAGCAAACGGG